GACCGCACUGGUAGCCUAGUGAUUAGAGCGUCCGCCUCAGAUGCUGGAGGUCGCGGGUUCGAUCCUUGGCUGAGUCA
Potamilus streckersoni is the source of this 77-nucleotide non-coding RNA. NCBI's taxonomy places the organism in Eukaryota, Metazoa, Mollusca, Bivalvia, Unionida, Unionidae. The record is from the annotation of a GenBank genome assembly.